Molecule: long non-coding RNA, 1356 nt
Filed under: Heterocephalus glaber (naked mole-rat)
Lineage: Eukaryota; Metazoa; Chordata; Mammalia; Rodentia; Bathyergidae
Description: lncRNA (ENSHGLG00100049479.1)
Source: RNAcentral
CAGGGCUCCACAGCUGGUUGUUGACGGGUUGGCCUGCUGGUUGUGAGGAAUUGUUACUUUUACCUUGAGCAAUUGGUAGUUUCAUCUGAGGAGCAGCUUUACAAUCUCACAUCAGAGUUUCACCUGACAAAAAUCCCUAAUGCUCAAUCAGGUGGUGAAACCAAAAGGUGUGGUGUGUCCUGAUCAGACUGACUGUAGUUUUUCUUGAGAGAUUGUUUGCUCAAUCUAUUUGGAUUUGUUAAGCUCCUAUUAUGUGUUUAGCAUUGAUUUGUCUUCAGGAACCUAAAGAUAAAGUAUGGUGACGGAUAUAUUUGCAGGUUGAAAACAUAUAUAGCAUGUCCAGAUGAACUGAAAAACUUCAUCUGGAGGUUGAAUAAGAGAAAGGAAUUAAAUUCAAAAAGAAUAUCCUUAAACCUUAGAACAUGACAAAUUUCAGCAGUGUUACAAAAAUGACCAAAAGCUCCAAAUGAACCUCUGGAAUCUAGUCCACAUACAAGUGAGAUCAUGCAGCAUUUUUAUUUGUGUCCAGCUUAUGUCACUCAGGAAUUUCUAGAUAUUUCCUCGAGGUUCAUUCAUGCUGUUGCAAAUGACAGGAUGUACUUCUGAAUGUGAGAGAGUUUCAGAGAACUGGAAUCCAUUGGAUGAACAAGCUUAAUUUCAAAAUCUCAGAUGACAGAAAUUCUCACUGACUCCAAAUGAGGAACAGAAUGGCUGCAUACUUUAGAUAUUUUUAACUAACACCAUUAAUGUAAUCAUGAAGACCAUGCCUAUAUUGUCAUUAUAUCAAAAUAUGUUCACUUCAACAAGUAGAAGUUCUUCCAUUGACAAAAGUAUUUAAUGAAUUGUCAAUAAAACUUUGUUGGGAUGCAAAGAAUUAUGUCAAGCACCUCGGCACUACAAAAUUAAAUAAUCAGCUGGUGUUCCUCAAAAAAGCAUAUGAAUGUGCUUAUUUUCAUCAAGAGGACUUCAUGAUCCAGUCAGGAAGACAAGGCAGGUACACUAAUAAAUAUAGGUAGAAUCUAAGAAGAACCACAAAAGAGGGACAAAGCUAUAGGAUUUCAGAUGCAAGAGAUUACUUCUAGCUAAAGGGAACCCAUGAAGAUGACACAAGAGUGACAUUGGAACCGAGUCUCUCAGUGUGCUUAGACUUGCUAUUGGAUCUUCCCUGUAUUUCUCCAGUUACCCACUCAAUAAAGUUUCUUGCCAGUGGUUAUGACUCGUGCUCAUUUCUAAUGCUUUUUAACAUAUUACCACAAACUGGGUGGCUUAAAUCUCAUUGUGUUUUAUGUCAUAGUUUCUGUGGGUCAAGAACACAGACAGGGAGUAUCUGGGUUCUCUGCUCAGGGUCUCACAGAG